RNAcentral lists this ribosomal RNA (440 nucleotides) under uncultured bacterium. Its description in RNAcentral is "partial 16S ribosomal RNA". It matches the Rfam family "Bacterial small subunit ribosomal RNA", at positions 338 to 795 of the family's 1533-position model. The record is from RNAcentral.
CCUACGGGUGGCAGCAGUAGGGAAUAUUGCUCAAUGGGGGAAACCCUGAAGCAGCAACGCCGCGUGGAGGAUGAAGGUUUUCGGAUUGUAAACUCCUUUUGUUAGAGAAGAUAAUGACGGUACCUCUUGAAUAAGCCACGGCUAACUACGUGCCAGCAGCCGCGGUAAUACGUAGGUGGCAAGCGUUGUCCGGAUUUACUGGGUGUAAAGGGCGUGCAGCCGGGAAGACAAGUCAGAUGUGAAAUCCCGCGGCUCAACCGCGGAACUGCAUUUGAACCUGUUUUUCUUGAGUACCGGAGAGGUCAUCGGAAUUCCUUGUGUAGCGGUGAAAUGCGUAGAUAUAAGGAAGAACACCAGUGGCGAAGGCGGAUGACUGGACGGCAACUGACGGUGAGGCGCGAAAGCGUGGGGAGCAAACAGGAUUAGAUACCCGUGUAGUC